ACAUAUUCAGAUUGUUGAGGUCGGGUCAUUCAGCCCUAGACUUUAUGUCAUGCAAACACACUGCCCUAGUUUCCACCAAUCGUUAGCCUUCGAUCAUUCACCUUAAAUGCCCCCAUUUUGGUGUAUAUAAGAUGCAAAAUUUGGGUUAGGAGAACAAAUCUCCUCACUAGGUCAGAAUUAUAAGAAGUUAAAACGGGGACCAGCACCCUUACCAGGCGCUGGUCCCCGUAACGGUGAUUCAUACAACAAGCAGCGAGAGUCGUUUACCAUCUAGAUUACUUCAGCAAAAAAAAAGAGAGAGAGAAUGACGAAAGUUAAAGACCGCUUUAGACUGAGUGGACCUCUGAAAACGAAGAGAAGACAAGGCUGCAAAGUUAGAGAGAAAGUUUUACAUCGUCUGAUUGAUCGAGCCAGUCCAUGCCGAAUUUGAACGAAGAAAAAGGAUAAAAAGCAAAUCAUGGAGAGAGAAGAAGAGGAGGAACUCUCAGAGAAUUUGAGAAGUUCCUGUCAGCAGUUUGAUCUGAACGAUCUGUUGAUUUAUACUGGUGUGUUUAGUUUUAGUUUACUAUGUCUAUAUUUUAUUAAGUCAGUAACGUGCACUUUGGUGCCAAGUCGGAUGAUGUAUCAUCCCGGUGAAAUAAGAAUUUGAUGCUUUAUUUGUGUAACUGAUAAUGAGAGAAUGAGCGCUGAGUUAUGUUCUCUGGUGUCAAUGCUUACAUGUCGAUAGAAUAUUAAGUGAACAGACUGAUAGUGAGAAAAAGAUUUGACAGCAUGUGGUAAAAAGAAUGCUGAAAGGGAGUGUGUUCGAAUGAGAGAGCAGACUGUUGUAUGCAUUAAGGGUGCAAAAGAAAUGUUUCGAACAUUUCUGCAUUUAGAUGCUGAGUUUUGAAAUACUGCAUAAUAUUGUAUUAUUUGUUAUGGGACUCCAUUACUUACAUUUAGUACUUUUUUAGUACUCCGUGUCUUCUUGUGCCAUAUUAAGACAUGUAUAUAUGUAUAACAUAUUACUGCGUAGCAGAGCAGUGCUAUAAUAUAAUGUAACCUGCUUAUUCUUUUUUGAGUUGCAUUCUCAGGUGUGUGCGCCACUGAAUAUUAUAUUUAAGCAGCACAUAAGGGUGAACUAGCCGGUGAUUUUUGUGUUUGGAACCUCUGUGGUUUCCUAGUAUGUAUGUCAUUAAUGUAUGCUAAGAAAUUCUAGGGUAUUUGAUGCUAAAUCUAGACACUAGAUUGUCGGGAGUGUUUGGUAUGGAAUACCUGAUAAAGAGUACUUGGUGUGCGUGUGUGUUCAUGUGUUAUGGUUGCUUCAUAGCAGCGACGAUGAAUAUGAAUUAGAAUAUCUGUAGAGUAGAUGAUGCUUGUUUUAUCUUUAUGUGCCUUCAAUUCAUUGAACAGAAUUCUCUGUAGAUCUGGAUUGGGAUGAAUAUGUACCGGUGAUUUUGUACAUAUAUAACUGCAUUGCUAUUUUAAUUAGUGAGGCUUAUGCUUUUUUACACAGUUAUACAACUCACAACAGAAAAGAGAAAAUAUAAUUGAGGCUUAUGUAAACAAGUGUUGUGACAAACUAACCCGGUGAAAUACUAUCAAUUAUAAAAAGAGAGUGGGAGGGGGAGUCUUUAUGAAUGCAUAUGAAUUUAUGAAAGAAGGAAAUUAAUUAGCUUGUAUUAUUGUUUACUGUUCUUAAUUAAAAUUGAUUCAGGCCCUGUUUGUUCUGCAGUGGCCACGGAUGAAUAUGUACCGGUGACGAGAUCAUUAAUCAAAACAGAGAGAGAGAGAGAGAGAGAGAGAGAGAGAGAGUAAAUCCUAAUUUUUUUUCCAUUAUUGUGCUGUGAAUUUCUGUGCCAUAUUGUUUUCUUGACUAUAUAUCAGAUAUUUUGUUUGCAAUGCAUCCAAUGCUACUACAAGUAUGAUUUGUUUUUGUCCGAUAAACAAGUUUUACAAUAAAGAAGAUCAACAUCUUAAA
Long non-coding RNA from Saccostrea cuccullata (small rock oyster), 1960 nucleotides. RefSeq lists it as uncharacterized. The transcript has 2 exons. The record is from RefSeq and is a predicted model, not a curated record. Lineage: Eukaryota; Metazoa; Mollusca; Bivalvia; Ostreida; Ostreidae.